This 76-nucleotide transfer RNA is filed under the name Microbacterium sp. zg.Y818. Its description in RNAcentral is "tRNA-Lys". It matches the Rfam family "tRNA". From Rfam's summary of the family: Transfer RNA (tRNA) molecules are approximately 80 nucleotides in length. Lineage: Bacteria; Bacillati; Actinomycetota; Actinomycetes; Micrococcales; Microbacteriaceae. The record is from RNAcentral. RNAcentral also lists the same sequence under 1 other name.
GGGCCUCUAGCUCAAUGGCAGAGCAGCGAGACUUUUAAUCCGCGGGUUCAGGGUUCGAGCCCCUGGGGGCCCACCA